Non-coding RNA from Anas platyrhynchos (mallard), 1332 nucleotides. Lineage: Eukaryota; Metazoa; Chordata; Aves; Anseriformes; Anatidae. The record is from RefSeq and is a predicted model, not a curated record.
GGGAUGGGAGGAAGCUUACUCUGAGAUGCUUGCAGUCAGAAAAUACCCAAAUAUAUCUUGAGAGAGGCUGAGGAGGGAGAAAAAAAACAACAACACACAAUAAAAACAAACAAACAAAAAAAAAGGGGGAACAGGAAAAAGUGAUUCACUAGCAGCAGUAAGGAGGAGGCGGGCUGGUUUCAAGCAGCACUUUUACACUUUUUUCUUUCUUUUUUUUUUUUUUUUGAUUUGCAGAUCUGUGAGUAGCUAAUUUUCACCUCGUGCCAGUCAGAUGGGAGGCUCCUGAGCAGCAACCCAGCAGCCUGCAGGGCCCAGGUGAUAUCUGCUGCAGGAUGAGGGUCUCCUGGAGGCUUCUGGACUCAUCCUGUCCCCUGCUGGGGACCUGUAGGGAUGAGUACACGAAGGUGACAGUGCCAGCAGGCUGAGGGAUGAAUACUCGGGUCUGGAAAUGGCAGCAGAAGGUGAGAAGAAGAGGCCUCGAUCAAUGCCUUGGCUGCUGCACAAAUACAGAGGAAGGCUCAUUCGUGGCAGGAUGAGUUUACCACAGAUGGCAAGCAGAUGUUUCAGGUGUAUGGCAGAAGAAAAGGAAGCCCGUGAACGGGGACCUCGGGCAAAAACACUAGUCUGCACGAGUCCUGAGCCAGCCAGCUCUGGAUACAGCAUCACUGCCCAUCUUGGAAACACUCCAGGCAUUAUCCAUGUUGUCCUUUAGGCAGCCUGGCUUCUACAGAUGAUGUCUUCCCUUGCAGCAGGCAAUCUUGGGACCUCUGGGGAAGGGACAUGAAGCUUCCUUUUUUCAGAGCCUGUAAUAUUUUCCAGAUUCCUGAGAAAGAAAGGGUAUUCCUCUUUGAAAUUCUGAUUGCUCGUUCAAUACAUGCUAGAGAAAGCAAGGCAUGACUAGCCUAUUAUUUUCAAGAGGUAGUAGAUGACUAUGGAUGAUAAUUAUAUUCUGUUAAAAACAUCCCCAGAGGUAGGGGUGACAUGGAGGCAGGGUGAAAUGGGGUAAUUUUGUGACCCUUCACUUGUCUUUGAUUAUUAAGGACAGCCUGUAACUGAGGACAAAAAAAAAAAAAAAAAAAAAGAUUAAUUAAUGAUGCUUUGGGCUUCAACCACAUGAAAUGUCUGUCUGCUAAGCAAAGUGCAAGCAUUGUCACUUUUACAUGCAAGGUCAAGCUACAAGUAAGGCUGGAGACUGGCUGAGCUGAGGGCAGCACUGGUGACACAUCCGUCUUCCCAUGGGCUGCACGUCGUAGCUCCAAGGAGCCACACUGAUGCUCAGUGCCCAGAGAUGCUGUAGAUAUUUUCUGUACAACAGAUCCCUGCUUCAGGCUU